CGUGCCCAGUCGUGGGGGAUAACGUAGCGAAAGUUACGCUAAUACCGCAUACGAUCUACGGAUGAAAGCGGGGGAUCGCAAGACCUCGCGCGAUUGGAGCGGCCGAUAUCAGAUUAGGUAGUUGGUGGGGUAAAGGCUCACCAAGCCAACGAUCUGUAGCUGGUCUGAGAGGACGACCAGCCACACUGGAACUGAGACACGGUCCAGACUCCUACGGGAGGCAGCAGUGGGGAAUUUUGGACAAUGGACGCAAGUCUGAUCCAGCCAUUCCGCGUGCAGGAUGAAGGCCCUCGGGUUGUAAACUGCUUUUGUACGGAACGAAAAGGUCUCUAUUAAUACUAGGGGCUCAUGACGGUACCGUAAGAAUAAGCACCGGCUAACUACGUGCCAGCGGCCGCGGUAAUACGUAGGGUGCAAGCGUUAAUCGGAAUUACUGGGCGUAAAGCGUGCGCAGGCGGUUAUGUAAGACAGAGGUGAAAUCCCCGGGCUCAACCUGGGAACUGCCUUUGUGACUGCAUAGCUAGAGUACGGUAGAGGGGGAUGGAACUCCGCGUGUAGCAGUGAAAUGCGUAGAUAUGCGGAGGAACACCGAUGGCGAAGGCAAUCCCCUGGACCUGUACUGACGCUCAUGCACGAAAGCGUGGGGAGCAAACAGGAUUAGAUACCCUGGUAGUCCACGCC
This 681-nucleotide ribosomal RNA is filed under the name uncultured bacterium. RNAcentral's name for it is "bacterial SSU rRNA". It matches the Rfam family "Bacterial small subunit ribosomal RNA", at positions 125 to 801 of the family's 1533-position model. The record is from RNAcentral.